UAGUCAGGGUGAAAAGACGGUAGGUCACUAUCGCAGUGCCCUUGAUACUGAAGAGCUUGAAUGGACCAGAAGUAGCCGGAAUGUGACAAGUAGCGGUGAAAUGCAUAGAUAUGUCACAGAACACCGAAUGCGAAGGCAGCUUACUGUGGUUUAAUGACGCUGAGGCACGAAAGCGUGGGGAUCAAACAGGAUUAGAUACCCUGGUAGUCCACGCCCUAAACGAUGAAUACUCGCUGUUAGCGAUACACAGUUAGCGGCUAAGCGAAAGCGUUAAGUAUUCCACCUGGGGAGUACGGUCGCAAGAUUGAAACUCAAAGGAAUUGACGGGGGCCCGCACAAGCGGAGGAGCAUGUGGUUUAAUUCGAUGAUACGCGAGGAACCUUACCCGGGCUUGAAAGUUAGUGAAUCAUUUAGAGAUAGAUGAGUCCGCAAGGACACGAAACUAGGUGCUGCAUGGCUGUCGUCAGCUCGUGCCGUGAGGUGUUGGGUUAAGUCCCGCAACGAGCGCAACCCCUAUGUUUAGUUGCCAGCACGUCAAGGUGGGGACUCUAAGCAGACUGCCUGUGCAAACAGAGAGGAAGGAGGGGACGACGUCAAGUCAUCAUGGCCCUUACGUCCGGGGCUACACACGUGCUACAAUGGAUGGUACAGAGGGCAGCAAGCUGGCAACAGCAAGCCAAUCUCCAAAAGCCAUUCACAGUUCGGAUAGAGGUCUGCAACUCGACCUCUUGAAGUUGGAUUCGCUAGUAAUCGCAUAUCAGCAAUGAUACGGUGAAUACGUUCCCGGGCCUUGUACACACCGCCCGUCAAGCCAUGGAAGUUGGGGGUACCUAAAG
Molecule: ribosomal RNA, 836 nt
Filed under: uncultured bacterium
Lineage: Bacteria
Description: bacterial SSU rRNA
Rfam family: Bacterial small subunit ribosomal RNA
Source: RNAcentral